RNAcentral lists this ribosomal RNA (253 nucleotides) under uncultured bacterium. RNAcentral describes it as "partial 16S ribosomal RNA". It matches the Rfam family "Bacterial small subunit ribosomal RNA", at positions 524 to 776 of the family's 1533-position model. The record is from RNAcentral.
UACGUAGGUGGCAAGCGUUACUCGGAAUCACUAGGCGUAAAGCGCAGGUAGGAGGUUGGAUAAGUCUAUUGUGAAAGCUCCCGGCUUAACUGGGAGAGGCCAAUGGAAACUAUCCGGCUAGAGUGCGGUAGAGGUAGCUGGAAUUCCCGGUGUAGCGGUGAAAUGCGUAGAUAUCGGGAGGAAUACCUAUGGCGAAAGCAGGCUACUGGACCGUCACUGACUCUGAUCUGCGAAAGCUAGGGGAGCAAACAGG